Molecule: transfer-messenger RNA, 396 nt
Filed under: Saprospiraceae
Lineage: Bacteria; Pseudomonadati; Bacteroidota; Saprospiria; Saprospirales
Also listed under: 1 other name
Description: B8-G4 sp003648285 Standard tmRNA
Rfam family: transfer-messenger RNA
About the family: Bacterial tmRNA, also known as 10Sa RNA or SsrA, is named for its dual tRNA and mRNA-like properties. Its role is to liberate the mRNA from a stalled ribosome. To accomplish this part of the tmRNA is used as a reading frame that ends in a translation stop signal.
Source: RNAcentral
GGGGCUGAUACUGGAUUCGACAGUGAAGUAUUCUGAUCAGUAAGCAUGCCGGGGAAUGACGAUUCACUCCGUGCCGCAAGGCAUCCUUCGGGAUAAAAAAUGAUCAUCAAACCAUUAAUUGGCGAAAACAAUUUUGCCUUAGCUGCCUAAUUCUAGGAAUUAGAAAGCUUUUGUGCCUUCAGGUUGAUGUCUGCUACAAAUCUGACCGCACAUAAACGAAAUGCAGAACCGUGAUUGAGACUGUCUUGACUCGAUCAUUAAAUAAAGAGAAUCGGAGAUGAAAUGAGCUGUUGUCGAGCUUAUGAAUUUCUUAAAUUUUAAAAUCGAUAACUAAGCAUGUAGAAGGCUUUUUAGAGCUUUUUCUGGACCGGGGUUCGACUCCCCGCAGCUCCACAA